RNAcentral lists this ribosomal RNA (257 nucleotides) under uncultured Pseudomonas sp. Its description in RNAcentral is "partial 16S ribosomal RNA". It matches the Rfam family "Bacterial small subunit ribosomal RNA", at positions 96 to 354 of the family's 1533-position model. The record is from RNAcentral. Lineage: Bacteria; Pseudomonadati; Pseudomonadota; Gammaproteobacteria; Pseudomonadales; Pseudomonadaceae.
CGGCGGACGGGUGAGUAAUGCCUAGGAAUCUGCCUGGUAGUGGGGGACAACGUUUCGAAAGGAACGCUAAUACCGCAUACGUCCUACGGGAGAAAGCAGGGGACCUUCGGGCCUUGCGCUAUCAUAUGAGCCUAGGUCGGAUUAGCUAGUUGGUGAGGUAAUGGCUCACCAAGGCGACGAUCCGUAACUGGUCUGAGAGGAUGAUCAGUCACACUGGAACUGAGACACGGUCCAGACUCCUACGGGAGGCAGCAGAC